This 407-nucleotide ribosomal RNA is filed under the name uncultured bacterium. Its description in RNAcentral is "partial 16S ribosomal RNA". It matches the Rfam family "Bacterial small subunit ribosomal RNA", at positions 28 to 526 of the family's 1533-position model. The record is from RNAcentral.
GUUGAACGCUGGCGGCAGGCCUAACACAUGCAAGUCGAGCGGAGCGGCGGACGGGUGAGUAAUGCCUAGGAAUCUGCAUGUUAGUGGGGGAUAACGUCCGGAAACGGGCGCUAAUACCGCAUACUAUCAGAUGAGCCUCGGGCGGAUUAGCUGGUUGGGUGGGUAAAGGCCUACCAAGGCGACGAUGCGUAACUGGUCUGAGAGGAUGAUCAGUCACACUGGAACUGAGACACGGUCCAGACUCCUACGGGAGGCAGCAGUGGGGAAUAUUGGACAAUGGGCGAAAGCCUGAACCAGCCAUGCCGCGUGUGUGAAGAAGGUCUUCGGAUUGUAAAGCACUUUAAGUUGGGAGGCGGUACCAACAGAGUAAGCACCGGCUAACUUCGUGCCAGCAGCCGCGGUAAUAC